GCCCACCUUGUCCUGCUACCUGGCAAUGGAAGUCUGCACUGCUGCUCCACAGAACAGCAUUCCAGGGUCUCACAUACUGAAGGUGAAGAGCAGACAUCAGAGUAUAUAAUUUCUGGUUUUGUUUAUGUAAGGUACAGGCUUAUGCGAGAGAGAGAUGGCAGACCUGAAUACAUCCCUCAGCUGUGAUGUGGAGGAUGGAGGUAAAAGUGCCAAUGACUGGACUGGUGUCUUAUGUAAGGAAAUCAACAGAAAGAAGAUACCCGGCAUGAAGACAAGCCUUGGUGAGGGUAUCCCAACAGAUAGCGCAGUGAACAGAGGCACUGAUCACAGACCAGCUCCCAGAUAACUAGACAGAAGACUCUAGAAAAGGUCCUACCUUUCUGUGUUUCGGCUACAGUAAUUCAUCACUGAGAAGUUUCAUGAUUAAGUGCCAUCAUUUUUUGGAACAGCUGUAAUGCAAUAACAAUGCCUAGAAUGUACCAGUGUAAGUCUCCCAGUCGUGUC
Molecule: long non-coding RNA, 504 nt
Organism: Bos taurus (domestic cattle)
Lineage: Eukaryota; Metazoa; Chordata; Mammalia; Artiodactyla; Bovidae
Source: Ensembl